UGAAAUGCGUAGAGAUGUNGAGGGANUACCGNAUGGCGAAGGCANCCCCCUUGGGANGUCACUUACGCUCNUGCANGAAAGCNUGGGGAGCAAACAGGNUUAGAUACCCUGGUAGUCCACGCCCUAANCGAUNUCAACUAGUUGUUGGGGAUUCAUUUCCUUCAGUAACGUAGCUAACGCGUGAAGUANACCGCCUGGGGAGUACGGUCGCAAGAUUAAAACUCAAAGGAAUUGACGGGGACCCGCACAAGCGGUGGAUGAUGUGGAUUAAUUCGAUGCAACGCGAAAAACCUUACCUACCCUUGACAUGCCACUAACGAAGCAGAGAUGCAUUAGGUGCCCGAAAGGGAAAGUGGACACAGGUGCUGCAUGGCUGUCGUCAGCUCGUGUCGUGAGAUGUUGGGUUAAGUCCCGCAACGAGCGCAACCCUUGUCUCUAGUUGCUACGAAAGGGCACUCUAGAGAGACUGCCGGUGACAAACCGGAGGAAGGUGGGGAUGACGUCAAGUCCUCAUGGCCCUUAUGGGUAGGGCUUCACACGUCAUACAAUGGUGCGUACAGAGGGUUGCCAACCCGCGAGGGGGAGCUAAUCCCAGAAAACGCAUCGUAGUCCGGAUCGUAGUCUGCAACUCGNCUACGUGAAGCUGGAA
Molecule: ribosomal RNA, 649 nt
Filed under: beta proteobacterium ARP-D1
Lineage: Bacteria; Pseudomonadati; Pseudomonadota; Betaproteobacteria
Description: partial 16S rRNA
Rfam family: Bacterial small subunit ribosomal RNA
Source: RNAcentral